Molecule: ribosomal RNA, 253 nt
Filed under: uncultured bacterium
Lineage: Bacteria
Description: partial 16S ribosomal RNA
Rfam family: Bacterial small subunit ribosomal RNA
Source: RNAcentral
UACGGAGGGGGCUAGCGUUGUUCGGAAUUACUGGGCGUAAAGCGUGCGCAGGCGGCUUCUCAAGUCAGGGGUGAAAGCCCAGAGCUCAACUCUGGAAUUGCCUUUGAGACUGAGUGGCUUGAGACCGGAAGAGGUAAGUGGAACUGCGAGUGUAGAGGUGAAAUUCGUAGAUAUUCGCAAGAACACCAGUGGCGAAGGCGGCUUACUGGUCCGGUUCUGACGCUGAGGCGCGAAAGCGUGGGGAGCAAACAGG